UACGGAGGGUGCAAGCGUUAAUCGGAAUUACUGGGCGUAAAGCGUGCGUAGGCGGUUGGGUAAGCCCUCCGUGAAAUCUCCGGGCCUAACCCGGAAAGUGCGGAGGGGACUGCUCGGCUAGAGGAUGGGAGAGGAGCGCGGAAUUCCCGGUGUAGCGGUGAAAUGCGUAGAGAUCGGGAGGAAGGCCGGUGGCGAAGGCGGCGCUCUGGAACAUUUCUGACGCUGAGGCUCGAAAGCGUGGGGAGCAAACAGGAUUAGAUACCCUGGUAGUCCACGGCUUAAACGAUGGAUACUAAGUGUCGGCGGGUUACCGCCGGUGCCGCAGCUAACGCAUUAAGUAUCCCGCCUGGGAAGUACGGCCGCAAGGUUGAAACUCAAAUGAAUUGACGG
RNAcentral lists this ribosomal RNA (390 nucleotides) under uncultured bacterium. RNAcentral describes it as "bacterial SSU rRNA". It matches the Rfam family "Bacterial small subunit ribosomal RNA", at positions 524 to 916 of the family's 1533-position model. The record is from RNAcentral.